This 613-nucleotide ribosomal RNA is filed under the name Enterobacter cloacae. RNAcentral describes it as "bacterial SSU rRNA". It matches the Rfam family "Bacterial small subunit ribosomal RNA", at positions 558 to 1172 of the family's 1533-position model. Lineage: Bacteria; Pseudomonadati; Pseudomonadota; Gammaproteobacteria; Enterobacterales; Enterobacteriaceae. The record is from RNAcentral.
GCGUAAGCGCACGCAGGCGGUCUGUCAAGUCGGAUGUGAAAUCCCCGGGCUCAACCUGGGAACUGCAUUCGAAACUGGCAGGCUAGAGUCUUGUAGAGGGGGGUAGAAUUCCAGGUGUAGCGGUGAAAUGCGUAGAGAUCUGGAGGAAUACCGGUGGCGAAGGCGGCCCCCUGGACAAAGACUGACGCUCAGGUGCGAAAGCGUGGGGAGCAAACAGGAUUAGAUACCCUGGUAGUCCACGCCGUAAACGAUGUCGACUUGGAGGUUGUGCCCUUGAGGCGUGGCUUCCGGAGCUAACGCGUUAAGUCGACCGCCUGGGGAGUACGGCCGCAAGGUUAAAACUCAAAUGAAUUGACGGGGGCCCGCACAAGCGGUGGAGCAUGUGGUUUAAUUCGAUGCAACGCGAAGAACCUUACCUACUCUUGACAUCCAGAGAACUUAGCAGAGAUGCUUUGGUGCCUUCGGGAACUCUGAGACAGGUGCUGCAUGGCUGUCGUCAGCUCGUGUUGUGAAAUGUUGGGUUAAGUCCCGCAACGAGCGCAACCCUUAUCCUUUGUUGCCAGCGGUUAGGCCGGGGACUCAAAGGAGACUGCCAGUGAUAAACUGGAGGAAG